RNAcentral lists this ribosomal RNA (230 nucleotides) under uncultured bacterium. RNAcentral describes it as "partial 16S ribosomal RNA". It matches the Rfam family "Bacterial small subunit ribosomal RNA", at positions 562 to 791 of the family's 1533-position model. The record is from RNAcentral.
AAAGGGUCCGUAGGCGGAUCUUUAAGUCAGUGGUGAAAGCCCACAGCUCAACUGUGGAACUGCCAUUGAUACUGGAGAUCUUGAGUGUAGUAGAAGUAGGCGGAAUAGGGCAUGUAGCGGUGAAAUGCAUAGAUAUGCCCUAGAACACCGAUUGCGAAGGCAGCUUACUAUGUUACAACUGACGCUGAGGGACGAAAGCGUGGGGAGCAAACAGGAUUAGAUACCCCUGU